RNAcentral lists this long non-coding RNA (461 nucleotides) under Drosophila guanche. The record is from RNAcentral. Lineage: Eukaryota; Metazoa; Arthropoda; Insecta; Diptera; Drosophilidae.
CAGCAACGGCAGCAUGUAAACUUUGAGAGUCUUGCUGUAACUGAAAGUUUGCUGUUGAAUCUUUGGUCAAAAGAUACGCUUUUGAGCCCUAAGUUUUGGCCCCUUUCCCACGCACCUUUCGGCAAACAAACUCAAUUAUAGAUAAGCGCACAUACAGACACAAACUUUGGUGGAAAACUUCACAGUCAGUUGGAAAAUGAAGCGUAUCGGACGUCUGUCGGAGCUGCCAUCUUUGGCAUUUGCUGUGCUGGCCAAAAUGCAUUUCCUAUUCAAAACUAGUUCCAAUUGAUUAAGUUACUGGUUAAUGGAUUGCUUGAGCACCUUGCCACAUUUGGCUGGCCAGUGCCAGUGCCAGUGGUCAUUGGCCCUUGGGGAAUGUCAGCGUAUUUACUUGACAAGUGUGUCCCCCUCUGGCUUUUGUGUGUGCAAAACUUAAUUCCGAAUAAUUAUUUCGCUUUAUG